This 405-nucleotide ribosomal RNA is filed under the name uncultured bacterium. RNAcentral describes it as "bacterial SSU rRNA". It matches the Rfam family "Bacterial small subunit ribosomal RNA", at positions 337 to 734 of the family's 1533-position model. The record is from RNAcentral.
UCCUACGGGGGGCAGCAGUAGGGAAUCUUCCGCAAUGGGCGAAAGCCUGACGGAGCAACGCCGCGUGAGUGAUGAAGGUCUUCGGAUCGUAAAGCUCUGUUGUUAGGGAAGAACAUAUGUGUAAGUAACUGUGCACAUCUUGACGGUACCUAACCAGAAAGCCACGGCUAACUACGUGCCAGCAGCCGCGGUAAUACGUAGGUGGCAAGCGUUAUCCGGAAUUAUUGGGCGUAAAGCGCGCGUAGGCGGUUUUUUAAGUCUGAUGUGAAAGCCCACGGCUCAACCGUGGAGGGUCAUUGGAAACUGGAAAACUUGAGUGCAGAAGAGGAAAGUGGAAUUCCAUGUGUAGCGGUGAAAUGCGCAGAGAUAUGGAGGAACACCAGUGGCGAAGGCGGCUUUCUGGUC